RNAcentral lists this ribosomal RNA (497 nucleotides) under uncultured bacterium. RNAcentral's name for it is "partial 16S ribosomal RNA". It matches the Rfam family "Bacterial small subunit ribosomal RNA", at positions 28 to 507 of the family's 1533-position model. The record is from RNAcentral.
GAUGAACGCUGGCGGCGUGCCUAAUACAUGCAAGUCGAGCGAACAGACGAGGAGCUUGCUCCUCUGACGUUAGCGGCGGACGGGUGAGUAACACGUGGAUAACCUACCUAUAAGACCGGGAUAACUUCGGGAAACCGGAGCUAAUACCGGAUAAUAUAUUGAACCGCAUGGUUCAAUAGUGAAAGACGGUUUUGCUGUCACUUAUAGAUGGAUCCGCGCCGCAUUAGCUAGUUGGUAAGGUAACGGCUUACCAAGGCAACGAUGCGUAGCCGACCUGAGAGGGUGAUCGGCCACACUGGAACUGAGACACGGCCCAGACUCCUACGGGAGGCAGCAGUAGGGAAUCUUCCGCAAUGGGCGAAAGCCUGACGGAGCAACGCCGCGUGAGUGAUGAAGGUCUUCGGAUCGUAAAACUCUGUUAUUAGGGAAGAACAAAUGUGUAAGUAACUAUGCACGUCUUGACGGUACCUAAUCAGAAAGCCACGGCUAACUACGUG